CGGAUACGGCUUCAACACCAACACACAUGUCAGCACCGACAACUGUCCCAAUCAGACCGACUUCUCAGCUGAUCUCCUUCUGUCUAGCGAUCCUACCGGGUACCCAAUAGAUGCCAUCAACCUUGAACUGGUAAAUAGACCCGACCUUCUCAACUGCUUAGCGAGAGAGGUUGUCCUCCCAACCGCACCUAAAGUACCCGCAGAUCCUGUGCUUACAGUCGUCAAGCAAACCUGCCCCUCGGCUAACCCCAUGCUUUGGAGUUUCUUCCGUUACAAUGCAAG
This is a long non-coding RNA of Haliotis rufescens (red abalone), 282 nucleotides long. RefSeq lists it as uncharacterized. The transcript has 3 exons. NCBI's taxonomy places the organism in Eukaryota, Metazoa, Mollusca, Gastropoda, Lepetellida, Haliotidae. The record is from RefSeq and is a predicted model, not a curated record.